CGUAGGGUGCGAGCGUUAAUCGGAAUUACUGGGCGUAAAGCGUACGCAGGCGGCUUUGCAAGACAGGUGUGAAAUCCCCGGGCCUAACCUGGGAACUGCAUUUGUGACUGCAUGGCUAGAGUCUGUCAGAGGGGGGUGGAAUUCCACGUGUAGCAGUGAAAUGCGUAGAGAUGUGGAAGAACACCGAUGGCGAAGGCAGCCCCCUGGGAUGAGACUGACGCUCAUGUACGAAAGCGUGGGGAGCAAACAGGAUUAGAUACCCUGGUAGUCCACGCCCUAAACGAUGUCUACUAGUUGUCGGGGGGUAACUCCUUCGGUAACGCAGCUAACGCGUGAAGUAGACCGCCUGGGGAGUACGGUCGCAAGAUUA
This 370-nucleotide ribosomal RNA is filed under the name uncultured organism. RNAcentral describes it as "bacterial SSU rRNA". It matches the Rfam family "Bacterial small subunit ribosomal RNA", at positions 526 to 896 of the family's 1533-position model. The record is from RNAcentral.